Molecule: transfer RNA, 76 nt
Filed under: Agrobacterium tumefaciens
Lineage: Bacteria; Pseudomonadati; Pseudomonadota; Alphaproteobacteria; Hyphomicrobiales; Rhizobiaceae
Description: tRNA-Ala(tgc)
Rfam family: tRNA
About the family: Transfer RNA (tRNA) molecules are approximately 80 nucleotides in length. Their secondary structure includes four short double-helical elements and three loops (D, anti-codon, and T loops).
Source: RNAcentral
UGGGCUGUAGCUCAGCUGGGAGAGCACCUGCUUUGCAAGCAGGGGGUCAGCGGUUCGAUCCCGCUCAGCUCCACCA